RNAcentral lists this long non-coding RNA (2717 nucleotides) under Equus caballus (horse). RNAcentral describes it as "lncRNA (ENSECAG00000054204.1)". The record is from RNAcentral. Lineage: Eukaryota; Metazoa; Chordata; Mammalia; Perissodactyla; Equidae.
CAGCCCCAGAAACGUCUUUGAUCCUGGACAACCCCAGAGGCCGCAUCAGAGACACAUUGCUGUGCGCCCCCGAGCGGAUCAGGGGCUGGACUUGAGUCUCGCCCACCGCAGGCCAAUCAGCAGCAGCCCGUGGGGCUCCUUUAACAGGUCAGGGAGCCGAGUCUAUGCGAGAGGCAGUUCUGGGACAGAUGAGCAACGUCAAGCAAUUAAAUAAAAGAUCUGAAACAGUUCAGAGGAAAUGAUUCAGCAGCAGAGUGAAGCGGGGAGGCCUUGUGGAUCCUCCUCAAAAUGUUUUUGAGGAAAGUCAGGUGUUUCAGAGAACAUGACAGCAACGGCAGCAGGAGGCUGCUGAGGUGGCAGUGUGCCCCGCGGCUGACCUUGCUCUGGGAGAUCUGACCCAGCCAGGCCGCGGUUCUGGCUCUCUGAGCACCGGCCCUGCAGCGAGCCGGCCGUGCCGCUGCCAUUGUGCGGUGGAUGGGCUCGGUGGGCACAGGUGGACGGUGCAGUCCCUGCGUCCCCACAUGUGCAGAACUGCCUAGACAGCAGUGUCAUUACCCAUGUUCCAACGAGCCGAUUUUAACGGUACUCACUGGCGUAUUCUCUGUUCUAAUCAGCAGCAUUUGGGACCCCAGGAUGCUUGAUGUUUGCUCAAUACACGAAGCUACAGACAUGACUGUGCGUGAACAUCUGACAUCACUAUUAAGCUCUUAGGGUACAGAGAAGAACGUCGCAGAGCACUGCGGAGGGGCUGGAACCCGGGCCCGUGGUGCAUUGGCAGGGCGGGAGGUGCUCACGGUGGGCGGGAGGCCAUGGCCUCUGCCUGGGGCCAGUGAAGCAGGGCAGCGUGUGACGCUCAGCAGCUGUGUUGGCUGUGCCCUCCUCUCAGCAUCCUCUCGUGCUGCACACACACUGUCAGCACCACCCAGCAUGCAACUCGGCUCCUCACGCCUCCUGUGCCUUUCACAGCAUGGCCUCUGCAACAACCAAGGCCUUGUGACAGAGAGAAGGAGCCUGGGAUGUGCUCCCUGUCCUGGAGGUGCCGUCAGUCUAAUGGGGGAGACAAACUUCACAGGACAAAGUAAGAACAGGCUCCAGGCUGAAUGCAGAGGCUUCACAGAGAUGGUUGCGUUUUGUACAGAACUUGGAAGUUGAGAGAAAUGGCCAGAAAGCGCAGGGAAGGAGGUUCCUGCCCCCGGGAGCUGCAUCAGGGGGAUGCACAGGACGAUGCUGCUGUGAGCAGCGGUCCCCAGUCUCAGCGUGCACACCACCAGAGGUUCAACAUCCGCUCUCCCUGCCCACAGAGGACUGGCAGGGGCCUCGCCUCGUGCACACAUUCCAGGACCCACGUCAGUGCUGGAGGGGAGCGGUUCUGGAGGGCUCCAGGUGGCAGUUAAACCAUCUUCUUGAACUGACCCAGGUCAUCUCUGCCCACAGCCUAUCAGCCAGCUAUCCACACAGCCCCACCCGGCCACAGGGCCAGGCAGGGGAGCCCUAGUGACCCUGGAAGACAGAACCGUGGGAAUAUUUGGGGUCCAGCACUGAUUGCCACCUGGGCCAACUCUGGAGCCAACACGGGCAUUUGGGGAAGAGGUGACAGGCCAGAGGGCCAGGUCAGUGCAAUACGGAGGUCGGGGGAGAAAGAAGAUAAAAGGAAAAUUUGCACUCGCCCACCAUUCAGCGAAGGCUUCUGGGUCUAGGCCGGUCCCCCUCUGCUCUCCAGCACCGCCACACAGUGUUCACCCCAGACUCAGUGUCCCUCGGACUGCCAUGUGCUUUGUUCUGCACACUGUGGAUCUGGUAACUGGUCAUGUCUCCUCCUUUGGUUUCGGUGCAGGAAGGUUACCAUACCUGGGACCACUCGGGGCGCAGUUGCACGUCUUCCUGUGAGCUGAUCUUACUUAGGGUGUUAUUAUGUUUUCUACUCCUCAUUUUUCUACGAAACUUCCUCAGUGAUUCAUUUGAUCCUUUCUUAUUGUAUGUAUUUUGAUAAGCAAUUUUAUCUUUUUUCAUUUUGUAACUUUUUUUUUUUGAGGAAGUUUAGCCCUGAGCUAACAUCUGCUGCCAGUCCUCCACUUUUUGCUGAGGAAGACUGGCCCUGAGCUAAUAUCCGUGUCCAGCUUACUCUACUUUAUAUGUGGGACGCCUGCCACAGCAUGGCGUGCCAAGCGGUACCAUAUCUGCACCCAGGAUCUGAACCGGUGAACCUAGGGUCGCUGAAGCAGAACUUGUGAACUUAACCGCUGCGCCACCAGGCCGGGCCCAAUAUAAUAGUUUUUAUAAGUGGUAUUGUCCCAAUUCUCUAUUGCUGAGCCACCAACAACAGUAAACUUUAAUGCAUUGAAACAAUUCUGAUGCUUCUUCCUCAGCACGCAGCCGCCUGGCUGGGUAACGGAUAUGCUGGACUGGAACAUCCACAGUGGUUUCUCCACUGGGCUGGGCGUUCUUUCUCUCCACGCGGCUUCCCCAGCAGGGUAGCUCCAUCUCUUCACAGGAGACUCAGGGCUCCUAGGGACGGUGUUCCAAGAAGACGAGCCUAGCAUGAGCUGUUGUCAAGCCUCCUUGUCCUGCUCACUAACAUCCAUUGGUCAAAGCAUGCACAGGGUCAAGGUCAUUGGGAGGGGACAACACAAGGUGUGAGUACCAGGGCUCAUCCGAGGCCACCAAAAUAAAUACAUGUAUGUUGUAAUCAUAAAUAAUAAUAAAUAUGGAUAUACAGG